This 406-nucleotide ribosomal RNA is filed under the name uncultured bacterium. RNAcentral's name for it is "partial 16S ribosomal RNA". It matches the Rfam family "Bacterial small subunit ribosomal RNA", at positions 29 to 526 of the family's 1533-position model. The record is from RNAcentral.
AUUGAACGCUGGCGGCAGGCCUAACACAUGCAAGUCGAGCGAGCGGCGGACGGGUGAGUAAUGUGUGGGAAACUGCCUGAUGGAGGGGGAUAACCACUGGAAACGGUAGCUAAUACCGCAUACCAUCAGAUGUGCCCAUAUGGGAGUAGCUAGUAGGUUGGGUAACGGCUCACCUGGGCGACGAUCCCUAGCUGGUCUGAGAGGAUGACCCGCCACACCGGAACUGAGACACGGUCCAGACGCCUACGGGAGGAAGCAGUGGGGAAUAUUGCACAAGGGGCGCAAGCCUGAUGCAGCCAGGCGGCGGGGGUGAGGAGGGCCUUCGGGUUGUAAAGCACGUUCAGCGGGGAGGCGGUACCCGCAGAAGAAGCACCGGCUAACUCCGUGCCAGCAGCCGCGGUAAUAC